Molecule: non-coding RNA, 1031 nt
Organism: Xyrichtys novacula (pearly razorfish)
Lineage: Eukaryota; Metazoa; Chordata; Actinopteri; Labriformes; Labridae
Source: the annotation of a GenBank genome assembly
UUUGUGUUAAUGUGUUUGAAAAACUUAGGAAACCCUGAUUUGAAAUUAACAAGAAACCUCAAUACCUUUUCAUGCAGUUUUUGUACUGAAAACCAGUGGCGGCUGCUGGUCUUUCAAUGAGGGGAAGCUCAUUUUUCUGGCCUACAUCAUAAUUGUAUUUGUUUAUUAGUAUGUAACAGAACAGAGUCGCCAAACACAACGGCAGUCGUUUUUAAUAAAGACAGAAGUCGCUGAGGAUCGGUAAAGUCUCUGGAGCAGUUAAGAACAACGGAAUGAAUAACUUGGAAAAUGCUCUGGUAGAGGUUUUAUUCUUCAAGAUCGCUGAUUCGCUUGUUUAGCUGUCAAUCAAAAAAGGAUUUCGCCUCAGACAGCUCAUCCAAUCAUGGAUGCAGAAGCUUGCAGUCCGGGAGAAAGUCGGGACCGCCCUCUCGCCAUAGAACUCCAGUGAAGCUUAGCUUCCAUUGGGCGGGACAAAGCCCAGCAUUUAUCCAAUGAGCGUCUAGUUUCGCUGCUGGAACAACCCACUUUUAGCUUCCACAUUGAAGUCAGCAGAAGCCCAGCGUCCGGCUGUUUAAAGCGCUGAGGCGCUGCGAGGAUGAAUGAGAACGAAGUUAUGCCGGUUACCUAUAAUUAUCAGCUUCUUAUCACAGUGUCUGAACAAAAGAUGAAGGCUUUCUAGUGCGUAUUUAGUUAAUGAAAUGUACACACAGCAGUACGUAUUUCACCACUUUUUCUUUUUUUGGGGGGUGACAUUUUAAGGGAAGCCGAGCUUCCCUUGCAGUCUUAGAGCAAUCGCCACUGCUGAAAACAUAGUUCAGAUUGGGCUGAACUCAAAGCAGAUAUGUAGAUACAGAAAUCGAGUUUUAAAAAAGAGAGGACAGGGAGGGAAGAGAUUACAGGGCAGGAAGGAACAGGAGACGAGAGAGAGAUUUGGAGAUGGGAACAGUGGGAGACUGCAGGUGAUGAUUGAGUGUCUAGAAGAACAAAGUCCCCAUCGUGAGGCACCCGGGUGACGACUUGGACAAGACGGC